This 21-nucleotide non-coding RNA is filed under the name Rattus norvegicus (Norway rat). The record is from RNAcentral. Lineage: Eukaryota; Metazoa; Chordata; Mammalia; Rodentia; Muridae.
CACUAUGAACAAGAGGGUCUU